GUCCCCAUAGCUCAGCGGAUAGAGCGUCAGCCUCCGGAGCUGAAGGUCAGAGGUUCAAAUCCUCUUGGGGACG
RNAcentral lists this transfer RNA (73 nucleotides) under Candidatus Anderseniibacteriota bacterium. Its description in RNAcentral is "tRNA-Arg". It matches the Rfam family "tRNA". Rfam says of the family: Transfer RNA (tRNA) molecules are approximately 80 nucleotides in length. Their secondary structure includes four short double-helical elements and three loops (D, anti-codon, and T loops). Further hydrogen bonds mediate the characteristic L-shaped molecular structure. tRNAs have two regions of fundamental functional importance: the anti-codon, which is responsible for specific mRNA codon recognition, and the 3' end, to which the tRNAs corresponding amino acid is attached (by aminoacyl-tRNA synthetases). tRNAs cope with the degeneracy of the genetic code in two manners: having more than one tRNA (with a specific anti-codon) for a particular amino acid; and 'wobble' base-pairing, i.e. permitting non-standard base-pairing at the 3rd anti-codon position. The record is from RNAcentral. Lineage: Bacteria; Candidatus Anderseniibacteriota.